AGAGUUUGAUCAUGGCUCAGAUUGAACGCUGGCGGCAUGCCUAACACAUGCAAGUCGAACGGAAACGAUGGGAGCUUGCUCCCAGGCGUCGAGUGGCGGACGGGUGAGUAAUACUUAGGAAUCUGCCCAUUAGUGGGGGACAACUCGGGGAAACUCGAGCUAAUACCGCAUACGCCCUACGGGGGAAAGCGGGGGAUCUUCGGACCUCGCGCUAAUGGAUGAGCCUAAGUCGGAUUAGCUUGUUGGUGAGGUAAAGGCUCACCAAGGCGACGAUCCGUAGCUGGUCUGAGAGGACGAUCAGCCACACUGGGACUGAGACACGGCCCAGACUCCUACGGGAGGCAGCAGUGGGGAAUAUUGGACAAUGGGGGCAACCCUGAUCCAGCAAUGCCGCGUGUGUGAAGAAGGCCUGCGGGUUGUAAAGCACUUUCAGUAGAGAAGAAAAGCUUAUGGUUAAUAACCGUGAGUCUUGACGUAACCUACAGAAGAAGCUCCGGCUAACUCCGUGCCAGCAGCCGCGGUAAUACGGAGGGAGCGAGCGUUAAUCGGAAUUACUGGGCGUAAAGCGCGCGUAGGCGGCUUUGUAAGUCGGAUGUGAAAGCCCCGGGCUCAACCCGGGAAUUGCACUCGAUACUGCAGAGCUAGAGUAUGGUAGAGGGAAGUGGAAUUUCCGGUGUAGCGGU
Molecule: ribosomal RNA, 683 nt
Filed under: uncultured Gammaproteobacteria bacterium
Lineage: Bacteria; Pseudomonadati; Pseudomonadota; Gammaproteobacteria
Description: bacterial SSU rRNA
Rfam family: Bacterial small subunit ribosomal RNA
Source: RNAcentral